GGCGCUCUGGCCGAGUGGUUAAGGCGUUUGACUCGAAUCAUUGAACCUUUCUUCAAUCAACAGAUAUCAAAUCCUUUCGGGGGCGUGUGUUCGAAUCACACGGGCGUCG
Molecule: transfer RNA, 109 nt
Filed under: Aureobasidium pullulans
Lineage: Eukaryota; Fungi; Ascomycota; Dothideomycetes; Dothideales; Saccotheciaceae
Also listed under: 1 other name
Description: tRNA-Ser
Rfam family: tRNA
About the family: Transfer RNA (tRNA) molecules are approximately 80 nucleotides in length.
Source: RNAcentral